Long non-coding RNA from Cucurbita maxima (winter squash), 516 nucleotides. RefSeq lists it as uncharacterized. The transcript has 3 exons. Lineage: Eukaryota; Viridiplantae; Streptophyta; Magnoliopsida; Cucurbitales; Cucurbitaceae. The record is from RefSeq and is a predicted model, not a curated record.
UUGAGAAUGAGAUUUAAAAGAAAGGUACUGGAAUAAUGCUAAUUUGACAUUAAAAUUUUUAAGUCAAGUUUUGGGGUCCAUGCUAAUUAAAUUGUGGGGUUUGCGCAAUUUGCCUGAUGAUCAAGUAUAGGUGGAAGGUUUAUCAUCAGUAUCCAAUUUCGAUAAUUUGGAAAUCAAAUUUCCCGUUAACGUGCUUUUGUUUUGUAGUUUUGAUUUUUAAAUAGGUUCAAGAACUUGAGGAGGUUAUGUGAGAGAUUUGAACUUCCAAUGUUCUAUUUGAGGGUAAGCCACCUGAGCAAUGAUUUGGCUGGAAAAUAUCAUUUUAACUGUUAUACUUGGGGAGGUCAGCAAAGUUUAUACCCAACUUUGGUGACAGAAAAGAAACUAUAAGUUCAAAAGAACUAGUUGUGCAAUCACUGAAGGAAUGAAAAGCGAGAAAACAAAUAUGUGAUCAUUUUACCGUUAUUACUUAGUAUGGAAUUCUAAACAAUAUAUGCAAUAUACAUUAUAGAAAAC